UACGGAGGGGGCUAGCGUUGUUCGGAAUUACUGGGCGUAAAGCGCGCGUAGGCGGCUUUGUAAGUUAGAGGUGAAAGCCCGGAGCUCAACUCCGGAACUGCCUUUAAGACUGCAUCGCUAGAACGAUGGAGAGGUGAGCGGAAUUCCGAGUGUAGAGGUGAAAUUCGUAGAUAUUCGGAAGAACACCAGUGGCGAAGGCGACUCACUGGACAUCUGUUGACGCUGAGGUGCGAAAGCGUGGGGAGCAAACAGG
Molecule: ribosomal RNA, 253 nt
Filed under: uncultured bacterium
Lineage: Bacteria
Description: partial 16S ribosomal RNA
Rfam family: Bacterial small subunit ribosomal RNA
Source: RNAcentral